UACGAAGGUCCCAAGCGUUAUCCGGAUUUAUUGGGUUUAAAGGGUGCGUAGGCGGACUAUUAAGUCAGUGGUGAAAGCCCCCAGCCUAACUGGGGAACUGCCAUUGAUACUGAUGGUCUUGAGUACAUUUGAGGUGGGCGGAAUGUGUCAUGUAGCGGUGAAAUGCUUAGAUAUGACACAGAACACCGAUUGCGAAGGCAGCUCACUAAACUGUAACUGACGCUGAGGCACGAAAGCGUGGGGAGCAAACAGG
This 253-nucleotide ribosomal RNA is filed under the name uncultured bacterium. Its description in RNAcentral is "partial 16S ribosomal RNA". It matches the Rfam family "Bacterial small subunit ribosomal RNA", at positions 524 to 776 of the family's 1533-position model. The record is from RNAcentral.